RNAcentral lists this ribosomal RNA (919 nucleotides) under Klebsiella pneumoniae. RNAcentral describes it as "partial 23S ribosomal RNA". It matches the Rfam family "Bacterial large subunit ribosomal RNA", at positions 313 to 1238 of the family's 2925-position model. Lineage: Bacteria; Pseudomonadati; Pseudomonadota; Gammaproteobacteria; Enterobacterales; Enterobacteriaceae. The record is from RNAcentral.
UGAAUCAGCUUGUGUGUUAGUGGAACGGUCUGGAAAGUCCGACGGUACAGGGUGAUAGUCCCGUACACCAAAAUGCACAGGCUGUGAACUCGAAGAGUAGGGCGGGACACGUGGUAUCCUGUCUGAAUAUGGGGGGACCAUCCUCCAAGGCUAAAUACUCCUGACUGACCGAUAGUGAACCAGUACCGUGAGGGAAAGGCGAAAAGAACCCCGGCGAGGGGAGUGAAAAAGAACCUGAAACCGUGUACGUACAAGCAGUGGGAGCACCUUCGGGUGUGACUGCGUACCUUUUGUAUAAUGGGUCAGCGACUUAUAUUCUGUAGCAAGGUUAACCGUAUAGGGGAGCCGCAGGGAAACCGAGUCUUAACUGGGCGUUAAGUUGCAGGGUAUAGACCCGAAACCCGGUGAUCUAGCCAUGGGCAGGUUGAAGGUUGGGUAACACUAACUGGAGGACCGAACCGACUAAUGUUGAAAAAUUAGCGGAUGACUUGUGGCUGGGGGUGAAAGGCCAAUCAAACCGGGAGAUAGCUGGUUCUCCCCGAAAGCUAUUUAGGUAGCGCCUCGUGAAUUCAUCUUCGGGGGUAGAGCACUGUUUCGGCUAGGGGGUCAUCCCGACUUACCAACCCGAUGCAAACUACGAAUACCGAAGAAUGUUAUCACGGGAGACACACGGCGGGUGCUAACGUCCGUCGUGAAGAGGGAAACAACCCAGACCGCCAGCUAAGGUCCCAAAGUCAUGGUUAAGUGGGAAACGAUGUGGGAAGGCACAGACAGCCAGGAUGUUGGCUUAGAAGCAGCCAUCAUUUAAAGAAAGCGUAAUAGCUCACUGGUCGAGUCGGCCUGCGCGGAAGAUGUAACGGGGCUAAACCAUGCACCGAAGCUGCGGCAGCGACACUAUGUGUUGUUGGGUAGGGGAGCG